UUUCUUCAAUUCGUGAAUGCAAGCAUCAUAGAAAUGUCGUCUUCAGAUUAAGACUCGGUCAGAAAUAGUAAUUUCCUCAUUUCAUAUUCUCACAAAUAUUUUUAUUCAAGUCAUGCGUCUCCUCGAUCAUUUAUCUCAGGUACCGGAUCGUCUUCAAUUCAAAUAUUUCCAUAUACCCCACACUCAACACUCAAUGUAAUGCGAGAAUAAUCACCUUCUCCAUCUUCUCUUACACCUCCUACUCCACAUGUGACACCCCACAUUGCUGCUGUUGAAAUGGAAGACGAUCAAUAGUUGUCUUGAUUAGAUCCACCUAAGCAGCACCACAACAGAUCCACCCAAACAACUUUAUUAUAUUUGUUUGCAGCUGGCAUGUAGCCUGAUUUUUGGAGCGUCUGCACUGUAGUUGGAAGCGUGUAUCAUCUAACAAAAAGCCAACGAAUCACAAAGUAAAAAAUUGAAUUCUAGAAGAAAUAUAACUGGGAAACUGAUUGAAAAAUAAAGACUAUUCUAGUUACAUUGCUUUGUGUAUGGCAAGCUCAAGCUAUUUGAUCUCUCACUGAUUGGACCAAAAGAGCCUCUGUCGAUCACUACCAUAUGAAAUGCAAAAAAACUUAUUAAACCAUCUGAUCCAUGACUGAUUGAUUGACUAUAUGAUUCAAAAUUAAAAAUACUGGAAGCACUAUGACCCUGCAGCCUAGCAGGAUGAACAUCAUAAAGUAAUUUUGAACCCCAUAGAAGGCAUGCAGAGCUAGUCACCGAGCAUCCAUCAUCUCCAAGGUUUUGACGUAAAUGUCCAAAAGUUACACCCUCCGGUACUGUAUGUUGCUUCAAGAAGUUGAGAUUGUACCUCCAGAUGAAAUGAGCAUAUACUGAAAUACUAAUAUAUUGUAAGUUUAUAACCCACAGAUUAACAUUAGAAAAUUGUAGCCUAUUGCAUCACAAAUCAUGAUAUUGGUAUAUACAUUUGUAUAAGGAAAAAGGAAAAUGAACUGCCAUAUUUAUGCAGAAGGAAAAUAAUCAUGCUCGCAUAAAAAGAGAUGUAAUUGCAUAAAUAAGACACCUAUUGUAGCAUAACUAACUGUUAAGUUUGGAUAUGAUAGAGAAUAAAAUUGCCAAAUAUGGGAGAGGGAGGACGACCGCAAUAAUGAGAUGAGGGCGAUGGUCGAUUGUGGGGUCAAUCUGGUGAGGGUUCGAUACUGCCAGCGGUAAGCCCAUGAGGCAGCUGUGGUGAUCGUGGAGCCCAUCGGGCCCAUGCGCAGCUGCAGGAUUUGGAGAGCGAGUGGCCGGCUGGCCGCUACGACACUACCAGAGCACUUCGUGGUCAAUACUAAAGCAACCUCUUCCUCUUGCCCAAGCAUACUACCUCCUAACCUCAUCCUCCCAAAUCAUUUUUCCACGAAAUUUUACAAGGGCACAGAUGAUUCGGAUAUUUAUAUGUAUAGUGUUUCUAAAACUGUUUGACAUUUGGAAAAUUAUUAUUCCACGCGGGUGCACCUAUGAAUUACUCCUAUGCAACUUGCUAGUUUUCUUCACCAUCCAAUUACAUUAAAACUGAAUCCGGUCAGAAAAAAAAAACAAGCUCAGUAAACUGAAUGCAGUGUGCAUCAACAUAAUAACUCAUUAAUAUAUAGCUCUGUGACCGGCAGAAACAUUGGCUUUCAAUAAUGAAAAUAGAGUAUGUUUAACAGUCAUUUACAUGUUUAUUUCGUUGUAGUGGCAACCCAAUGGGAGAACUUUGCAUACUUAGACAUUCAACUCACACUUUUUAACCAAAGUACAUUUAAUUCACUGAAUAAAAAGGAAAUAAUUGACGAAACAAAUGCAGUGGUUAGUUACCUGAAGUAUACUACGCAUACCUAAAUGUGUUUCUCAACAGAUUGUGUCACACAUUUAGUAGUGAAAAAUAUAGAUUGCAAUGCACCCCUCUUUUUGUCCUCCAUGACAACUUGAUCUGCAUGAAAGCAGCCAAAUUCAGAACAAACAAAGGAUACAUAAAAAGACAUAUACAAUAUCUGGAACAAGGCACCGUGCUACAACAAAGAUGAACAAGUCCCCGUCUGCCAAACAACAAUAAAUCCUUUGGUCAAAUUUGUAUUAAUUACAUCCACGAUGUGACGUUGUCUCCUGCUAUUGAUCCUAGUCACAGGCCUGCACUCAGUCCUAGCCUCCUUCAUGCUGUGGUUAAGAGAGGAAAAACAAGUGAGAGAAAGAGGGUAUGGGAGAGAUGGGGUUAUGUCCUAAAUCAAUCAAUAUCUAUGUGUAAGUGUUAAUUUACCCUCCCAUAGUUCAGAAUCAGGGCUCGUAUCUGUUUGAUUUUAGGUAGAUUACAUUUUAAAAUGGAGUGAUUUGAUCCAAAUCUUUUUACACCGGCCGAGCUAUCAUCUUGGAACAGAAGUAAUUUUUCUUCCAUCCUGAGGUUUGACAAGAC
Molecule: long non-coding RNA, 2431 nt
Filed under: Triticum aestivum (bread wheat)
Lineage: Eukaryota; Viridiplantae; Streptophyta; Magnoliopsida; Poales; Poaceae
Description: long non-coding RNA (TAES_LNC005869)
Source: RNAcentral